This 305-nucleotide ribosomal RNA is filed under the name uncultured bacterium. RNAcentral describes it as "partial 16S ribosomal RNA". It matches the Rfam family "Bacterial small subunit ribosomal RNA", at positions 333 to 640 of the family's 1533-position model. The record is from RNAcentral.
GGUACCCUACGGGGGGCAGCAGUGGGGGAUAUUGCACAAUGGAGGGAACUCUGAUGCAGCGACGCCGCGUGAGUGAAGAAGUAUCUCGGUACGUAAAGCUCUAUCAGCAGGGAAGAAAAAAAGUCUUUGGCUUUGGACGGUACCUGACUAAGAAGCCCCGGCUAACUACGUGCCAGCAGCCGCGGUAAUACGUAGGGGGCAAGCGUUAUCCGGAUUUACUGGGUGUAAAGGGAGCGUAGACGGCAGCGCAAGUCUGGAGUGAAAUGCCGGGGCUCACCCCCGGAACUGCUUUGGAAACUGUGCAG